RNAcentral lists this ribosomal RNA (408 nucleotides) under uncultured bacterium. RNAcentral's name for it is "partial 16S ribosomal RNA". It matches the Rfam family "Bacterial small subunit ribosomal RNA", at positions 28 to 526 of the family's 1533-position model. The record is from RNAcentral.
GACGAACGCUGGCGGCGUGCCUAAUACAUGCAAGUCGAGCGAAGCGGCGGGUGGUUGAGUAACGCGUGGGUAACCUGGCCUUAAGUCUGGGGUAACAUUUGGAAACAGAUGCUGAUAACGGAUGCAAAAGGAUGGACCUGCGAUGCAUUGGCUAGGUGGUCAGGUAAAGGCUUACAAAGGCGAUGAUGCAUAGCCGAGUUGAGAGACGGAUCGGCCACAUUGGGACUGAGACACGGCCCAAACUCCUACGGGAGGCAGCAGUAGGGAAUCUUCCACAAUGGACUAAAGUCUGAUGGAGCAACGCCGCGUGAGUGAAGAAGGUUUUCGGAUCGUAAAGCUCUGUUGUUGGUGAAGCGGUAAUCAACCAGAAAGUCACGGCUAACUACGUGCCAGCAGCCGCGGUAAUAC